RNAcentral lists this ribosomal RNA (273 nucleotides) under uncultured bacterium. Its description in RNAcentral is "partial 16S ribosomal RNA". It matches the Rfam family "Bacterial small subunit ribosomal RNA", at positions 793 to 1055 of the family's 1533-position model. The record is from RNAcentral.
GUCCACGCCCUAAACGAUGCGCACUAGAUUCGACUGACUCUGACGUCCGUCGGGUCGAAGCAAAAGUGUUAAGUGCGCCGCCUGGGGAGUACGGCCGCAAGGCUAAAAACUCAAAAGGAAUUGACGGGGGCUCACACAAGCGGUGGAGCAUGUGGCUCAAUUCGAAGCAAACGCGAAGAACCUUACCCGGGUUUGACAUGCUGGGAUUAGCCCGUGAAAAACGGGAUGACGCGGCUUGCCGUGGAACCAGCACAGGUGCUGCAUGGCUGUCGU